Lontra canadensis (Northern American river otter) is the source of this 873-nucleotide long non-coding RNA. RefSeq lists it as uncharacterized. The transcript is spliced from 4 exons. Lineage: Eukaryota; Metazoa; Chordata; Mammalia; Carnivora; Mustelidae. The record is from RefSeq and is a predicted model, not a curated record.
CAGCUUUUGUCGCCGGAAGAUGACGUAAAAACACAGCGUCUAAUUUAGAACGGGCCUUUGAGGACCCACCUCUCGUUAUGAUUGACAAGCCGAUGCGCCAAUCAGGUGCAACUAUAUCGUCACGCCAAAGACUUGGAGCAGCUGGUACUGGUUAUCACUGCACUUUAUCAAAUAGCAUCCCUAUUUCAAUUGAGAAUGAAGAGGUUCUUAGAUAAAGAACUUGUAAAAAUCAGGUACAAUAAUAAAGUCAUGGAUGAUUCUUGGAAUUUGCUAAAAUGAAAUGCUGCAUCUAAGUGCGAUUUAGCAGAUGUUCUCUCUUUCUACACCAAAGGCAGCAACUUUCAUUGGUGACUACUCACAAAACUUUGUGCCUGGAAGAUGGACAUUUGGCAAGCCAUAAUAGACUGCUCCUUUCCCAGGUAUCUCCUGCUUGUUUCCUUUAUCUGUGAAUAGGAAAUGGCUUAAAGGCACCUGUGUGAUGAAGGUCCCAGGGGCAGCUGCCUGACUAGUGAAUGCCUGAUUAUGUGUUAACAUGCUUUGUCAGAUAUUGGCAGAAUCUGUUCUCUUCUUUUGCCUUUUCAGCAAGGGUACCAUUGACAGCCUGGCUACCCAUUUAUAGAAAUGUUGUCCAUCAAACUGUGAGGAAGGACAAUAGUGUUUUUCUGUGGCCAGUGACUGUGGGAAACUUUUCUUUGGCUAUUCACGCAAUUUUUGUAGCUUGCUCUGAAGAGGAGAGACUGAUGAGUGCAAAAAGUACAAUUAAGCAAAGCCAGACUUCAAUUGAAGGCUCUAGUGUAGUCUGCUGUUCUCAUUUUUUUUUUUUUUAAUUUAGAGGGGGGAAAAACCCUAUGGGUUUUCACGUUGCUGUGUGGC